Molecule: ribosomal RNA, 492 nt
Filed under: uncultured bacterium
Lineage: Bacteria
Description: partial 16S ribosomal RNA
Rfam family: Bacterial small subunit ribosomal RNA
Source: RNAcentral
AGUGAACGCUGGCGGUAGGCCUAACACAUGCAAGUCGAACGGCAGCACAGUAAGAGCUUGCUCUUACGGGUGGCGAGUGGCGGACGGGUGAGGAAUACAUCGGAAUCUACUUUUUCGUGGGGGAUAACGUAGGGAAACUUACGCUAAUACCGCAUACGACCUACGGGUGAAAGCAGGGGAUCUUCGGACCUUGCGCGAUUGAAUGAGCCGAUGUCGGAUUAGCUAGUUGGCGGGGUAAAGGCCCACCAAGGCGACGAUCCGUAGCUGGUCUGAGAGGAUGAUCAGCCACACUGGAACUGAGACACGGUCCAGACUCCUACGGGAGGCAGCAGUGGGGAAUAUUGGACAAUGGGCGCAAGCCUGAUCCAGCCAUACCGCGUGGGUGAGGAAGGCCUUCGGGUUGUAAAGCCCUUUUGUUGGGAAGGAAAAGCAGCAGGUUAAUACCCCGCUGUUCUGACGGUACCCAAAGAAUAAGCACCGGCUAACUUCGUG